GCCUAACACAUGCAAGUCGAGCGCAGUCCUUCGGGACCGAGCGGCGGACGGGUUAGUAACGCGUGGGAAUAUGCCCUUCACUACGGAAUAGCCUCGGGAAACUGAGAGUAAUACCGUAUACGCCCUUCGGGGGAAAGAUUUAUCGGUGAAGGAUUAGCCCGCGUAAGAUUAGAUAGUUGGUGGGGUAAUGGCCUACCAAGUCUACGAUCUUUAGCUGGUUUUAGAGGAUGAUCAGCAACACUGGGACUGAGACACGGCCCAGACUCCUACGGGAGGCAGCAGUGGGGAAUCUUGGACAAUGGGCGCAAGCCUGAUCUAGCCAUGCCGCGUGUGUGAUGAAGGCCUUAGGGUCGUAAAGCACUUUCGCCAGAGAUGAUAAUGACAGUAUCUGGUAAAGAAACCCCGGCUAACUCCGUGCCAGCCGCCGCGGUAAUA
RNAcentral lists this ribosomal RNA (435 nucleotides) under uncultured bacterium. RNAcentral describes it as "bacterial SSU rRNA". It matches the Rfam family "Bacterial small subunit ribosomal RNA", at positions 46 to 525 of the family's 1533-position model. The record is from RNAcentral.